Molecule: long non-coding RNA, 13058 nt
Filed under: Carica papaya (papaya)
Lineage: Eukaryota; Viridiplantae; Streptophyta; Magnoliopsida; Brassicales; Caricaceae
Description: long non-coding RNA (CPAP_LNC004630)
Source: RNAcentral
CAAGAUGAAGACACUGCAACUUAUCUCCCAAUGCAUCCACAAAAACAAAUAGUCAAGAGUUAGGCAGUGACCAUCAAAGUAGGAAUCACAUUCAGCCUGUCAGAAGUUUAAACCGCGGCCCUUCGGGAUGGUUAGAUAAUCAGCACGAAAUGAAACUGUUUCGCGCUCAAAUCUCUGUUUGGAAAGAAGGAAAAUGCAUGUAAAGAGAUUCCAAGAAAGAAACUGGAAAGAGGUAAAUGGUUUUUUACAACUUGCUUUCCACAUUGAAUGGUGUGUAUCCAUGGUUGAAGUGAUCAUUUGUCUGAAUCUAAUAACAUAUAUAAUUUAAUCGAACAGCUAGAAAGUAAGAUAUAUUCGAUCAAGUAAGACUUAGAGUGAUAAAUUGUGUGGUAGUGGACUAAAUUCAAUAGAUUAGCUAAAAGAAUUUAGUCGGUUAAAUCGAUUUCUUAACUGCAUAAGCCAAGCAUGGGGCUUGAGAAACUGUGAAGUAAGAUCUAGCGACCUGUAUCUUAUUUUUCAACAUGAUGAAUCAAACUAGGUAGAAUAAAUGUAGACUAAUCGACCAUGAAUCCCCAAUUUGAAACGCUGUAGAAAUCCUUAAUGAAAGAAUGAGUGUUAACUAAAUGAUUGACUUCUAAUUUAUGGUUUACAAAAGGCUUACAAGGAAUCUGAUGCCCCGUUGACAGUUCCAGACUGCUUCGGAGUUGAUCUGGCUUGGCAGCAAACAGUUUAUUAGCUUGACUGAAAGUGAGUCGUCCAAACUAACCACAACCCUACACAGGAAGACACUAGACAAAAAUGAUAGUCAAUUUUUUGAGAGAUUAAUAGGGAAAAUUCUCUUCAGGUUGCUUCUGCCAUGGAUAGUUUGGAGCUUCUGUCCGCCUCGGUUCCAUCACAAACUUUUUCAGGACUUCUCUGUUCCAGAUGGAUCAUUUCUGAGCCAAGCAUAAAGAAAAUAAUACAACUCUAAUAAUAUCUUUAAAGAAAGUUUAAACAUGGAAAUGAUAUUCAGAAAUCCUUCGAACAUGCUUCAUGAGCAACGUAAUCAUCAAGGAUAUCAAGAAUAAAGCAAAAGAGAACAUCAUUAAAUGGACUGUAGAUGAUCAUAAGAGAGAGACUGAUAAUGAAGCAAAGAUUUCUGUUAAGCAACUUGGAUAGGGAAGUGGUAGCAUCAAACUAAAGAGCAUAUUAGGCCUGGAUGAAGAAAUAGCCCCAAAAUGGCAAGCCAUUGAAAUGGGAAAAAAAGANNNNNNNNNNNNNNNNNNNNNNNNNNNNNNNNNNNNNNNNNNNNNNNNNNNNNNNNNNNNNNNNNNNNNNNNNNNNNNNNNNNNNNNNNNNNNNNNNNNNNNNNNNNNNNNNNNNNNNNNNNNNNNNNNNNNNNNNNNNNNNNNNNNNNNNNNNNNNNNNNNNNNNNNNNNNNNNNNNNNNNNNNNNNNNNNNNNNNNNNNNNNNNNNNNNNNNNNNNNNNNNNNNNNNNNNNNNNNNNNNNNNNNNNNNNNNNNNNNNNNNNNNNNNNNNNNNNNNNNNNNNNNNNNNNNNNNNNNNNNNNNNNNNNNNNNNNNNNNNNNNNNNNNNNNNNNNNNNNNNNNNNNNNNNNNNNNNNNNNNNNNNNNNNNNNNNNNNNNNNNNNNNNNNNNNNNNNNNNNNNNNNNNNNNNNNNNNNNNNNNNNNNNNNNNNNNNNNNNNNNNNNNNNNNNNNNNNNNNNNNNNNNNNNNNNNNNNNNNNNNNNNNNNNNNNNNNNNNNNNNNNNNNNNNNNNNNNNNNNNNNNNNNNNNNNNNNNNNNNNNNNNNNNNNNNNNNNNNNNNNNNNNNNNNNNNNNNNNNNNNNNNNNNNNNNNNNNNNNNNNNNNNNNNNNNNNNNNNNNNNNNNNNNAAACGAAAUGAACGGCUGUGAUCAAAAGGCAAGGGGUUAUAAAUAGAACCCCCACACCAGACCACAAACCCUAGCCGCCCGCCGCUCGCCGGAGAAGACGAACCAGAGGCCGACCGCCGCCACCCGCCGCCGCACCGGGGAAAUUUCCGACCGCCGAUCGAGGUAAAUUUCAUACCCCCGACUCGUUUUUCCCCGCUGAUUCCUCCUAUGGCCAAAUUGAGGCCGAAAUCCCGGCCAAACGGCCGGAAUACGCGGCCGAAACCCAGCGGCGCCGCCGCGCCCCCUCUCGGUUUUUGCCUCCGACGAGGUCCUUCCCGGCCUCCGUUCGAUGCAAUUUUUAUAUCAUCGUGAUCACCAUUCUUUUCUCUACAGGUUGACCGAAGCCGAAUCACCAAAACACGAACCUCGCCGGAGAGCCGCCGUACCCGAGGCGACUCGCCGCCGCCAGCGGCGGCGCCGUCGCCGGAGCACGGCGGAGCCGCCGUGCCGGAGUUGCGAUUUGGGCCGAAAGAGGCCCUGGGCCUAAUUUGGAUUUUUUUUGGAACACGUGCAGGUACUGUUAGUGUGUUUCAGUUCCCCGGGAAAAAUUCAGGAAAAAUUAGGGACGGCCUGCAGGCGCACUGUGAAUCGUAUUCGGAUCCCGAAAACAAGUAAGGACCCCUCACCCUAUUUCCUAUCACGGUAUUAAAGUUCAAAAUGAUAAAACGGUAUUUCUUGAAUUAACGAAUGUGUGAAAUUGCUUAAGGUGGCUAAUGGAGCCCGAGUCUAGUGUGAUUGGUGAUUUACUGUUAUUUGGCCUGUUUACAGCUUUAAAUGCAAAAUGAGGUUUGAUGUGUUCAUUUUACAGAUUUGUGUGCAUAUACUACGUUUUUAUUAAUCAUGGGUUGAAUGACUGAAAAACUGAUACUGUAUGUUGUCUGUUUGGCAUGAAUUACUGUUUUGCUUGUUUGUAUGUGAAUUGAUGAUGCUGACUGAGGAAAAGGAAAAUGAAAGAUUGUGUAGACUGAUAAUUGUAUUAUGGGGGUCAGCCUGACUAGAUAUCCUGGGAGAUGGUGGACGGACCGGGUCCGUAGGGAACCCUACCGGGAUUGUGGUCUCACAUGCCGGACGGGGUAUGGAGAUCUUAUGGUUUUGGCGCCUAUACCGGACGGGGUAUGGGGACGGCCCGUUUCACCCUCAUACCGGACGGGGUAUUGAGGUUUAUGGUUUUGGCGCCCAUACCGGACGGGGUAUGGGGACGGCCCGUUUCACCUUCAUACCGGACGGGGUAUUGAGGUUCAUGGUUUUGGCGCCCAUACCGGACGGGGUAUGGGGACGGCCCUGGAAACUGAUUAUGAAUGUUAAAGGUUAACGGGUAGCGGAACCCCUAUGGACCCCCACGGAUACUAGUAGGCUGGUAAAUGAGAAAAAGAUAUGUUGUACAAUGAUUGAAAUUUUAAGGGGCGUGAUAAGUGUUAUGUUUUACAGCUUAUAUUAUUCAAUGAUUAUGAUAAUGUUAUUGUUUUUCUUAUAUUGUUUUCAUAAAUUCCACCGAGGUAAGUGGAGGGUAAAGGUUUUCAUGUUAAUAAACGAGUUUGUUGUAAAUUAUGCUCCAUUGGUCUUUUGUGUUUUUCUACCCACCUUUACCUCCGUGACGGUGAGAUAUCGUGAUGUUCUUACUGGGUUAGUGUAGCUCACUCAUUAUUUAACCAUUUCAGAUCAGGAAGACAUGGUUCCCGAGCCCGUUCCGCAGGAGGACGACGAAGGGGAUGCCUAGAGACUCUGUAGUCAUACUCAUAGUUUUAUUUUCGAGUUUCUCUCUUAGUUAGUUUAAUCUUUUGUAUUUUAAGUACGUUUUUGGUUUUUUUUCGUGUAAGGGAUGUUAACUGAAAUUUUGAUCUCGCUUCCGCAUUUGAUAUAUUUAAAUACUCAUUUCAUUUUAAUAUUUCCGGGGCCGUUACAAUAUAUGUAUUGAUGGGAAACAAAGGUGCACUCCCCUCAAUUUGCUCCUGAGAAAACAUUAUGACUGGUUCACAUUGAUUUAUUUAGUAAAUACGAACUGGCUGCUAUCUAAAGCACUUAUAUUCUCGGUAUAAUCAAGAAUCAAACACCACUUUCUCUGCCCAUCAUCCGGAUGAAUCAGUCCCUCACGAAAAUACUCUCCUCUAGGAUCAAGCAGUUUGGCUGUUUGUCAUCCUUAAGGCCUAACUCCUAUUGUGUAUAUGUACAUCUUAAAAAUUUCACUUGCUUCUUUCAGAAAUUCGCAAACGAGUGGUCUUAAUUUGGUCUCAAAUGCAUGAAUUCCAACAUGAAGAGGUUUCCUUUCAGAAGGUCUGUUCAUUUCAUAAUUCUUGAAUCUGAUGAUGUUACAGUAAUAUAGCUUAAACUCAAAGAUCAUAAGAAUCCAGUAAAGAAAUUCAAUAAGUCGAUAUUAUGAUGGUCAAUCAACAAGCACAGGCAUGCAUGCAGUAAAAUUCAUAACAUGUUUCUCUUAACUUUUGAAGUGAAAGCAAAUUCAAUACAGAUCCACAGGAAUAAUUGUGGGGAAAAAAAUAAGAAGGCACACACAGCUUUUCCAAAAUUCAACAUAAUACCUACGACAUGAAUCUCACAAAGACGCAUAAGCUUUACUUUCCAUCAAUGAGAAGACAUUUUCGUAAGCUUUACAUUAAGACUUUGGAGUAUGUGACAGCAAAUGGUAAGCGAAGCUUAUCAAACCCAUACGAGGUUAGCUCCAGAAAACCACAGGAAAACCAUCUUCAAUAAGUACCAAGUCCUACUUAUUGCCUGUUCAGAAAUAGUUCUUAGAAGAACAUGACAAGAACAACUUCUUUUAAACAUUUAAGAGAUAUAAAUGUUACAUACAGGCAUAUACAUGUCUGUGCAGCAGAAAACAAAUUUUUCAACGGUAGGUCUUCUUUCUAAAAGAAAAUUAUUCAGAAACUAAUUUGAAAAAGAGUUAUAAUUUCGUACCUGAUCUACAUAUGAGUAUGUGCAGAAGAAUUCUCAUGCAUCCGUUCAAGAAAGUGCAAGCAGGAAUACAUGUGGACAUGCGUGGAAAUGCACAUACACACACUAACAAACAUUAAGUACAUGAAAUCAAAACCCUGUUUCUUUUCCAUUCUUUUUAUACCAACUUCAAAACUCAACAGAAUUUCACCAGUGAAAGAGAAAUAUUCUACCAGUCCAAGGAGCAGAAGCUGUGUGGCUUCAACUCCGGGACUAGCAUCAGAGAAUCAUACCUGUUACUUCAUCUGGUGAUGCACGGCAGGUUAAUCCAUUUGGCUGCUCUAUGUUUUCCAACUUUUCAAUGUUUCUUCUUUUAUCCUGCAAGGUAAUCCAAAAAAGAGAUUUACAAUACACAUGCAUGGAUAGAGAAAGUUACCGAUUUGUUUACAAAAAUAUCGAUAAGAAAAUUGCAUGUGGGGGACAGUAUUCCCACAUGCUAAGAGAACUAUUAAGUCAAGCUCUUGCUAUAAAGAACAUGAGCAACUAUACUUUUACCUAAUGCCUACUACAUUACAUGGUUUCCUCUGCACAGAAUGUCCACUCUGUAACAGCUGUGUUCAUCCAAGCCUUAAACCCAAGUAGUUUAUUACCAAAGAGAUGUCAAAUUACGGAAAGUGAUUACUUGGAUGUAUCUACCACUUCAUACAGUUUCAUGCAAGCGACAAGAUCAGCAAACUCAAUGAAUCAUACCCCAUAGGAUAAAUUAAGAUAAAAAAUCCAAAUCAUAGAUAUACAGUAAAACCUCUGCCACCAAACUAGAAAAUCAAAGUCCUUGUGAAAAUUGUGACAUAAAUAGCAUGUUCAGAUAAAAAUAAUAACAAUCAGUUUACAAUCCAGAUCCCACAUUUUGACUAUUAGGUCAUGUUUGGUAUGGUGGGUAGGGUAAGUUAAGGCUAGUUCAUUAUUCCAAACAAUUUUAACUCGUUCGAUUCAAGAGAACAUUCCUAUGAACUUCUUAUUCUCUGAAAUCAAGACUUAAUUACUUAUUUUGGGAAUACUCAAAGCCCUGCUAGACACUACAAGAGCAUAAUAGAGCAAUUCAAAAGUUACCUCCCCCUUUCAGUGUAAGAGUUAUCCUCAACUCCAUCACCUUGAGAUGAUUCAACAGAUUCAGAUUCCAGCUCUGCAUCAAGAAAUGCAGCGAAGUUGUCGCUACUAGAUGAAUGCACCGGAGAAUCCAUCAAAAAACUCAUUUGGUCAUCCACGCAAUAAAAAUGCUUCAAUUCAAAUGAAAAAUAAUAAGAUACAAAAGAGAAGUGCUUGAAUUCUAGAAUUCUUCUUACUUUUCCACAUGCAAACAAGAAUGCUAUUCUUCUUACAGAGUUCAUUAAGCACUUUUACCCAAUUCUACAUCUGUGAUGGCUGAUUAAGAAACGUAUUAUAUGAAGUUAUCGUACCAAGCUAGUACCGAACGCCCAUUAAAAAAAAGCAAUGUUUUGAAGCUUCUCUUGAGGUGUGUCUCAAAAUGAAGGUGGAAUGCAUUAGGCAAAGGAUCCAGUUGGCUUAGAAAGACAGUUAUGAUGAGGACAAAGUAUCAAUUCACUAGGUGCAUGUGAUGAAUACCCAUGAGGAAAGGUAAAAGAACCUUUCCUGGUGGAUUUAAUUAACAAACUCUAUAAUCAAACUCGGUUACAGAGAAAAUUAAAGCCUAAGUAGCUUGUUUUGACUUGACAAUACACCCAAGCAAAUCCCUCAAACUAAAAUUAACUUUCCCCUAAGUGCAUCAAUAACCUCAUCCUCAACACCUAGAUGAUGCUUAAGAUAAAAGUGUAAGAACAAAAUGUUCACUGAUUAAAGAAUUCCAAACAACUUAAUAUGCCUGUAACUCAAUAAAAAACUCCUUGGGAAGAAUCACUAGCAAAGGGAUUGUACAACACCAUACACUUUUUCUCAAAGAUAGAACUAACUUGUUUAGACUCACAGAAGUUCUCGUUAAAGAACCCUAUAGCAUAUGGCUGUUGACUCACUGUAGCACCUAUUCCAACUCUUAGGUAAUCGAAGCAAUUGCAAAGAAGCUACCUUUACGUACCUCUGUGCAUAGCCAUCCACCUCCACGACGCAAUGCAGCAUCAUGUCAGCGUCAUCAGCCUCAUUGGCCCAAGUUCCCUUGACUCAACAAAACCUUCAGGGACUCCAAGCUACCUCUAAAUGUAGCUCUGUGCAGAGCCAUUCAUCUCUUAUGGUCCUUCUUGUUAACCUUCCCCACCAACUCCAGACAGUUCUUGAUUAUGUACACGUCGGUUACCCUCGCGACUCGCUGCAAAAGAUCGCCAGAUAAAGCACGUCGUGCAGAUCUGAGUGCUCGUUUUCCAGUGCCAGCCGCGAAAGGGGCCUUGCAUUCUAUAUUCACUACGCAUUUGGCAAAACUAGAGGUUUCGAGUAACACUGUUGAAGAUUGAGUUUUCCACGGGACAAGUAGUUUGAUUUUGUUUUUUUCAUACUUACUGUUUACUGUUUCCUUCAUGUUUACUGUUUCCUUCAGGUAUUGACUACAGCAGAAAACUCCUAUUUUUUCUGCAAAUUUUCCUUUUCACUUUCUUUCAUAUUCUUCCAUAUUUCAGAAAUUUAAUUAACUAACAUUUUAAAGAGUGGUAUCAGAGUUGCUGUUUUUGUAGGCUGUGAGGAGUUAAGCAAACUUGUUUUUUGAUUAAACUUCAUCAAGUUGACAGAAAAUGGCCAUGAAUUUGAACCUACCUGCACUACUAGUGUUCACAGGAGAAAAUUAUGAUUAUUGGGCUGUAAGGAUGGAAUCAUAUUUGCUUGCUUAUGACUUAUGGGCUUCUGUAGAGGAAAAUUAUGAUAGGGUAUCUUUAUUUGAAAAUCCUACAUUAACACAAAUUCGUCAAGAUGUAGAGAGCUCCAUGAAGAAUAUCAAAGCUCUAUCCAUUCUCCAUUCAUCUGUAUCAGAAGAUAUUUUUUUAAGGUCGGUUGGUUUUAGCACGGUAAACAAAAAGCUUAGAAUUAUUUAAAGGAAGAGUACAUUAGAAGUGCAAAUGUGAGAAAUGUAAAAUUAUUAACAUUAAAGAGGGAGUUUGAGCUGAUGAAGAUACAAGAAGGUGAAAGUGUUAAAGACUACUAUACCAAGGUUAUGAAUCCGGUGAAUCAAAUCAGAUUGCACGGAAGGGAUUUCAAGGAUCAAAGAGCAGUAGAAAAGAUGAUGAUCAGUCUUCUAGAGAAGUUUGAAUCAAAACUCUUAGUGAUUGAAGAAACUUGCGAUAUGGAAUAGUUGACAGUAGCUAAGCUGAUAAGCAAGUUGCAAGCUCAAGAGCAAAGAACUUCUAUCAGAAGCGAUGGUGUUGUAGAAAAUGCAUUCCAAGUUAGACAAAAGGGAAAACAAGUUGCUACAACCUUUAAAAAAGUUAGUAAGUCUUUUGAGCCUAAAAGUAAAGAACACCAAAGCUCAAAAGAGUCAAAUAAAAAAGAAAAACUUCUUGUUUGCAGCCUUUGUAGCAGGAGUGGGCAUCUGGAGAGUAAAUGCUAGAAGAAUUUGCAAUGUAGAGUUUGUAAAACGAUAGGAUACAGUGCAAAAGUUUGUUGGAAAAGAAAUAAAAAAUUAUAAAAUACACAACAAUAACAAAAAUAGUCUACUGAGCAACAACAAGCUAACUUUGUGGAGAAUCAGACGCAUCAGGAGAGCCGUUUGUUUAUAGUUACUCAAGAUCUUUAUGUACCUGAUGUUGAUAUAUGGUACAUUGACAGUGGUUAUACAAGUCACAUGGCUGGAGAUCAGAGACUAUUUUCUAGUCUAGAUGCCAGCUGCAGAAUUAAAGUAAAACUUGAAAAUAGGAUGAUUGUAAAAGCUCAAGAUAAAGGUUCAGUGCUAAUUAACAAUAAAUAAGGUACAAAAUUAAUUACUGAUGUCUUGCUUAUUCCUGGUCUAGAGCAAAAUUUAUUGAGUGUGGCUCAAAUGCAAAAUAAAGGAUAUUCAGUUUUAUUCAGAAAUAAUUGCUGCUAUGUAUAUGAUGCUGCAAAUGUUGAGGUUGUGAGAGUUAAUAAGGUUGAUAAUAGUUAUAUUUUAUGUUUGAAGCAUGUGAAUCAAAUUGCCUUUCUAUUAAAAAUGAUGAAACAUUGUUGUGGCAUAAAUGUUUUGGUCACUAUCAUAUUGAUGCAUUAAAGUUGAUGCAGAAGAAUAAUAUGGUGAGUGAUAUGCCUGUUAUUUCUUGUGGAGAAGAAGUAUGUGCAGCUUAUCAGUAUGGUAAAAUGUAUAUGACCAAUUUUUAAACUGGUGGAGUUAUUCGUGCAAUAAGAAAACUUGAACUAAUCCACUUUGAUGUUUGUGGGCUUAUGAGCGUUGCUUCCUUCAGCUACAAUAAAUAUUUUAUUUUGUUUAUGGACGAUUUUACAAGGAUGACCUAAGUUUACUUUCUCUCAAAUAAGGGUCAAGUGUUUACUGUGUUUAAAAAAUUUAAAUCAUAUAUAGAAAAACAAAGUGGAUGUGAGAUAACAAAUUUAAGGUCUAAUAAUGGCAGUGAAUAUACUUCAGCUGAGUUCAGAAAAUUUUGUGAUGAUUGUAGUAUAUUGCAGCAAUUUAUUGUUGUUUAUUCACCUGAGCAAAAUGAAGUCUCAAAAAGAAAGAAUAGGACAAUAAUGAAGAUGGCCAGGUGCUUGAUGUCAGAGAAGGAGUUGCCCAAAAGUUUUUGGGCUGAAUCUCUAUAUACUUCAAUUUAUCUGCUUAACCGACUUUCCACCAGAUCAGUUAAAAAAAACUCUAAUUGAGGCAUGAAGUGGUUCAAAGCCUUCAGCAAAGCACUUGAGAAUCUUUGGCUCAAUUUGCUAUACACUUAUUCCUUUUGUGAAGAGGACCAAGUUGGAUGAUAGAACUCAAAUUGAUAUAUUCUUAGGAUAUGCAAAAUAGACUAAAUGUUAUAGAAUUUAUGAUGUGCAUUUUGGUAAAGUAUAUGUCACUAGGGAUGUAAGAUUUGAUAAACAAGCUUGUUGGGAUUGAGAGAAGAAACAAGUUAAAAUAAAAAAAAAUUGAGGAAGGCUCAGUUGCUUUCAAAUCUAUAUUGGGUCCGAGUAAUUCUGUUCAACAUGAACAAAGCGACCGUGAUGUUAAUUCAAAUCCUACUGUUGAUACUCCUACCAAGAAAACAAAGUCACUUGCUGAAAUUUAUGAGAGAUGCAACUUAGCAGUUAUAGAACCAUCUAACUUUGAUGAAGCCUCAAAGUAUCCUGAAUGAAAAACGGCUAUACGGGAGGAGUUUGACACAAUUUGCAAGAAUGAAACAUGGGAGCUAACAUCAAGACCUCUGAACAAGAAUGUGAUAGGGAUAAAAUGGAUUUACAGAACUAAGUUUAAUACUGAUGGGUCAGUCUUCAAGUAUAAAGCUAGACUUGUGGUGAAGGGAUAUGCUCAGCUUGCAGGAGGAUAUUUUGGUGAUACUUUUGCACCAGUUAUAAGACAUGAAACAAUAAGGUUACUUGUAGCUCUUGUAGUAAAGAAAAGUUGGAAGCUGUUACAUUUAGAUGUUAAGUCAGCCUUUAUAAAUGGAGUCUUGGAAGAAGAGAUUUAUGUGGAGUAGCCACAAGGUUUUCAGGUUUUUGAAGAUGGUGAUUAUGUGUAUAAGUUAAAGAAGACCUCAUAUGGGCUUAAGCAAGUUCCUAAAACUUGAUACACCAGAAUUGAUUCACAUUUGAUCAGCAUGGGUUUUAGGAGGAGCAAAACUAAAGCAACUCUUUAUGUGAAGGGUGUUGAUGACAACAAUCAGUUUGUUGUAUCAAUAUAUAUUGAUCAUUUGCUAGUGAUAGGAGGAGACUUAAAGCUGCUAAUGCAAUUUAAACAACAUAUAAUUGCAGAGUUUAAGAAAAUGACUUAUUUCCUUGGUAUGGAGGUCAAGCAACUGGAUGAUGAAAUUCUUUUUUCUCAAAGAAAGUAUGCAUGAGAUGUCUUGAAGAGCUUUAAAAUGGAGAAUUGCAAGUCAACUACCAUAUCACUUUCUGCAGGUAAAAAGUUGUCAAAGUUUGAUGAAGCUGAGAAAGUAAUUACAAGUUUUUAUAGAAGUUUGAUUGGAAAACUCAUGUAUUUGACUGCUACCGGGGUAGAUUUGAUGUUCUCAGCUAGUUAUUUAUCAAGAUUUAUGAAUUCACCUAGUUAAAAGCACCUUGGAGCAGCAAAAAGGGUGCUGAGGUAUUUAAAAAGAACUUUGGUUAUGAUAUUUGGUAUUCAAGAGAAGAAAAUGGUGCAUUGUAAGGAUAUUCUAAUAGUGAUUGGGCAGGAAAUUCAGAUGAUUGCAAGAGUACUUCAGGAUUUGUUUUUUCAUUUGGGUCAGGUGUCUUUGCUUGGAAUUCAAAGAAGCAAGAGGUUGUAACUUAGUCCACUACUAAGGCUGAAUAUAUAACUGCAGCUGUAGUAGCAAACCAGGCUAUAUGGCUCAAAAAUUUUUUGAAUGAACUUAAUAUGGUGCUGGAGGUUCCAACUGUUAUUUAUGUGGAUAAUAAAUCUGUUAUUGCAAUUGCAAAUAAUCUUAUUCAACGUGUAAGAACAAAACAUAUUAAAGUGAAGUAUCAUUUUCUUCGUGAAGAUGAAAAGAUGGUGAAAUUCAUUUAGUGUAUUGCAAUUCAAAUGAUCAAGUUGCUGAUAUACUUACCAAAGCUCUGCGUAAGUGUAAAUUUGAAGAUUUAAGAAUAAAACUUGAUUUGUUCAAUAGAAAACUCAAAGAGGAGCGUUGAAGAUUGAAUUUUUCGUAGAACAAGUAGUUGAUUUUGUUUUCUUCAGACUUUAUAUUUAAUGUUUCCUUCUGGUAUUAAAGUUCUAUAUCUUUCGGUUUAAAUUAUAAUAUAUAUCAGAUUUAGUAGAAUUUGUAUAAAAUUAAAGUCAAAUCUUUAAUAUUUAAGUUGAAGAAUAAGAGAUUAUCUUAUUCAAAAUUAGUUUGUACUAUUAUUAUUACUGUAAAAUAAAAUGAAAACAGUAUAUAUAUAAUUAUUAUUAAAUUAGUUUGGAGAAUAUAUAUUUUUACAUUGUAAAUAUUAUAUAUCUAUUUAUAUGCAUGUGACGUACGCUCCCAUCAUAUAUAUUUUAGGGUGGUAGUACAUAUGCCACAAGGGCAAUUUCAUUAUCAUAUAUAUAUAUAUAUAUCAUAUACAAUAUAUAAUUUUUACAUGGAUACUAUAUACUAUAUAGCUAGGUUUACCAAAAAAACCAUAUUAUGUAUAUAUACAAGUUCCAAAGUAUACUGCAUACAUUCAUCACAUAUAUAUAUAUAUAUGUAUAAGAUCUUUUAUCAAUCUAUCUACAGUCUCAUAAUCAAAAACACUAUACAAUCCCCAAGCCCAUAUAUAAACUCAACGUCUAAUUAGACUCAUCCAAUUACGUAAACUACACAUAUAUUAUCUAGGCAAUAUAUGUAUAUAAUGUAUGUAAAGCUAGUAGCUGUACCAGCUUGUCUUUCUUUCUUUACAUCAAACACAUACAUGCUUGAUCGGUAUGACAUGCAUCUUGUAUCUGCUAUCAUAUAUAUUGCAUCAAGUCAUUUGGCAUAUAUAUAUAUAUAUGUAUAUAUACACACACACAUAUAUAUAUAUACACCACAAAAAAACCGCAGCUAAAUCCAUCCUUUCUUGCCGCAGUUAGUCAUCUUCCUUAAUUGGAAGCUCUGCAAGUUGAUCACAAGAUAUCUCAUGAACAAACCUAAAUCCUUGUUUCCUACUUCGAUCUCAUCUCAACUUUUUGCCAAAAUGAAUUAAUCGUCACCAAUUAAUUAAUCAAUUCCAACAGAAAUCAGGCUGAUCAUCACCAUUUCCCAAUUCUAAUCUUCUGAUGUGCAGCUGGUUAGAGGGAAAACUAUUUAGGUUUCCUGAGAGAGAUAUACUCUCACAAUGGGGAGGAGGGCCAAGAGUUAGAGAAAUACCAUUAGAUUUUCCAUGGAUUAAUCUUGGUGUACUCAACUGCUGAUCCAUUAAAUUGAUAUACCCACCAAACCCACCUGAACCGUUGAUCAGAUUCUGAUCAUCAUCAUCAUCAUCGUCAUUAUCAUCAUCAUCAUCAUCACCAUCUCCAAACUUUGAAAGAUUCAUUCCCCCAUUACCACUAGUUAUAAUUUGCUUCAUUUCUAUCCCACUUGAUAGUACUAUCUUACGGCUUGGGGAAUUCUGCAAUUCAUGACUCAAUAUCCUUUGUUUCUUUGUAGUACUACUCCUGAUCUGAUUAUCAUCAUUAUCAGCAGCUUUAGUACUAUUAAUUCUGGCCGGUUCGACACG